CGGGCGGACGGGUGAGUAACGUGUGGAUAACCUGCCUCACACAGGGGGGUAACAGUUAGAAAUGACUGCUAAUACCGCAUAAGCGCACGGUACCGCAUGGUACAGUGUGAAAAACUCCGGUGGUGUGAGAUGGAUCCGCGUCUGAUUAGGUAGUUGGUGAGGUAACGGCCCACCAAGCCGACGAUCAGUAGCCGACCUGAGAGGGUGACCGGCCACAUUGGGACUGAGACACGGCCCAA
RNAcentral lists this ribosomal RNA (239 nucleotides) under uncultured bacterium. Its description in RNAcentral is "partial 16S ribosomal RNA". It matches the Rfam family "Bacterial small subunit ribosomal RNA", at positions 95 to 334 of the family's 1533-position model. The record is from RNAcentral.